UGGCUCAGGAUGAACGCUGGCGGCGUGCUUAACACAUGCAAGUCGAGGGGCAGCAUGGUCUUAGCUUGCUAAGGCCGAUGACGACCGGCGCACGGGUGAGUAACACGUAUCCAACCUGCCGUCUACUCUUGGACAGCCUUCUGAAAGGAAGAUUAAUACAAGAUGGCAUCAUGAGUCCACAUGUUCACAUGAUUAAAGGUAUUCCGGUAGACGAUGGGGAUGCGUUCCAUUAGAUAGUAGGCGGGGUAACGGCCCACCUAGUCUUCGAUGGAUAGGGGUUCUGAGAGGAAGGUCCCCCACAUUGGAACUGAGACACGGUCCAAACUCCUACGGGAGGCAGCAGUGAGGAAUAUUGGUCAAUGGGCGAGAGCCUGAACCAGCCAAGUAGCGUGAAGGACGACUGCCCUAUGGGUUGUAAACUUCUUUUAUAAAGGAAUAAAGUCGGGUAUGCAUACCCGUUUGCAUGUACUUUAUGAAUAAGGAUCGGCUAACUCCGUGCCAGCAGCCGCGGUAAUACGGAGGAUCCGAGCGUUAUCCGGAUUUAUUGGGUUUAAAGGGAGCGUAGAUGGAUGUUUAAGUCAGUUGUGAAAGUUUGCGGCUCAACCGUAAAAUUGCAGUUGAUACUGGAUAUCUUGAGUGCAGUUGAGGCAGGCGGAAUUCGUGGUGUAGCGGUGAAAUGCUUAGAUAUCACGAAGAACUCCGAUUGCGAAGGCAGCCUGCUAAGCUGCAACUGACAUUGAGGCUCGAAAGUGUGGGUAUCAAACAGGAUUAGAUACCCUGGUAGUCCACACGGUAAACGAUGAAUACUCGCUGUUUGCGAUAUACAGCGAGCGGCCAAGCGAAAGCGUUAAGUAUUCCACCUGGGGAGUACGCCGGCAACGGUGAAACUCAAAGGAAUUGACGGGGGCCCGCACAAGCGGAGGAACAUGUGGUUUAAUUCGAUGAUACGCGAGGAACCUUACCCGGGCUUAAAUUGCAGAUGAAUUACGGUGAAAGCCGUAAGCCGCAAGGCAUCUGUGAAGGUGCUGCAUGGUUGUCGUCAGCUCGUUCCGUGAGGUGUCGGCUUAAGUGCCAUAACGAGCGCAACCCUUGUUGUCAGUUACUAACAGGUCAUGCUGAGGACUCUGACAAGACUGCCAUCGUAAGAUGUGAGGAAGGUGGGGAUGACGUCAAAUCAGCACGGCCCUUACGUCCGGGGCUACACACGUGUUACAAUGGGGGGUACAGAGGGCCGCUACCACGCGAGUGGAUGCCAAUCCCAAAAACCUCUCUCAGUUCGGACUGGAGUCUGCAACCCGACUCCACGAAGCUGGAUUCGCUAGUAAUCGCGCAUCAGCCACGGCGCGGUGAAUACGUUCCCGGGCCUUGUACACACCGCCCGUCAAGCCAUGAAAGCCGGGGGUACCUGAAGUGCGUAACCGCAAGGAGCGCCCUAGGGUA
Molecule: ribosomal RNA, 1440 nt
Filed under: uncultured organism
Description: 16S ribosomal RNA
Rfam family: Bacterial small subunit ribosomal RNA
Source: RNAcentral